GGAGGCAUACCCAAGCGGUUGAAGGGGUCGGUCUUGAAAACCGAUAGUGGGAUCAUAUCCCAGCUAGAGUUCGAAUCUCUAUGCCUCCGCCA
This 92-nucleotide transfer RNA is filed under the name Mollicutes bacterium. RNAcentral's name for it is "tRNA-Ser". It matches the Rfam family "tRNA". Rfam says of the family: Transfer RNA (tRNA) molecules are approximately 80 nucleotides in length. RNAcentral also lists the same sequence under 2 other names. Lineage: Bacteria; Bacillati; Mycoplasmatota; Mollicutes. The record is from RNAcentral.